CAGCACCUCAAGUGGUCAGGAUGAUUAUUGGGCCUAAAGCAUCCGUAGCCGGCGCUGUAAGUUUUCGGUUAAAUCUGUACGCUCAACGUACAGGCUGCCGGGAAUACUGCAGCGCUAGGGAGUGGGAGAGGUAGACGGUACUCGGUAGGAAGGGGUAAAAUCCUUUGAUCUAUUGAUGACCACCUGUGGCGAAGGCGGUCUACCAGAACACGUCCGACGGUGAGGGAUGAAAGCUGGGGGAGCAAACCGGAUUAGAUACCCGAGUAGUUU
Molecule: ribosomal RNA, 270 nt
Filed under: uncultured archaeon
Lineage: Archaea
Description: partial 16S ribosomal RNA
Rfam family: Archaeal small subunit ribosomal RNA
Source: RNAcentral